Non-coding RNA from Potamilus streckersoni, 72 nucleotides. The record is from the annotation of a GenBank genome assembly. Lineage: Eukaryota; Metazoa; Mollusca; Bivalvia; Unionida; Unionidae.
GCCUUGGUGGCCUGGUGGAAGAGCGUCCGCCUCGGAUGCGGAAAUUCGUGGGUUCGAUCCCCAGUCAAGUUA